Molecule: non-coding RNA, 70 nt
Organism: Potamilus streckersoni
Lineage: Eukaryota; Metazoa; Mollusca; Bivalvia; Unionida; Unionidae
Source: the annotation of a GenBank genome assembly
GAUGGCCAAGUGGUUAGAAAGUUUUCGCCUCGUAUGCGGGAGGAACCGGGUUUGAGACCCGGCAGAGUUA